GACGUAGGGUGCGAACGUUGUUCGGAAUCACUGGGCUUAAAGGGCGCGUAGGCGGGCUGACAAGUCUGGGGUGAAAUGCCGCGGCUCAACCGUGGAACUGCCUUAGAUACUGUCGGCCUCGAGGAAGGUAGGGGCAUGCGGAACUGUAGGUGGAGCGGUGAAAUGCGUUGAUAUCUACAGGAACUCCGGUGGCGAAAGCGGCGUGCUGGACCUUUUCUGACGCUGAGGCGCGAAAGCUAGGGGAGCAAACGGG
RNAcentral lists this ribosomal RNA (253 nucleotides) under uncultured bacterium. RNAcentral's name for it is "partial 16S ribosomal RNA". It matches the Rfam family "Bacterial small subunit ribosomal RNA", at positions 524 to 776 of the family's 1533-position model. The record is from RNAcentral.